GUCUAUUCAGAGUGUCCGACUAGACAAAGAAUUUUGAGCAGCCGUCAUCAAUCAUACCAAAUUAAACUAAAUAUUUUAACCAAUUUUAAUUCUUCAGACACGCCAGAUUUGCACCUAGUUAAAGACAUUCUUGUACACCCCCCCACUUACUACCCACCAUGCUCUCUCCCGCUUUGUCCGCGUGUACCACGCGCUCCAUCUCCAGUACCUCAGCUUUCAAUCCAUAAUCAAAGUCAAGCAAGCUGCACUCUUUUUCACGAAUCCUUCCAAAACAAAAUCCAGAAUCCCAUCAUUUAUCCCACACAUUCUCAUUCAAAUCUUUCGCCAUUUUUAUUGUUUGAACAGAUUUACAUUUCCAUUUUUAAAACUUCCAUUGAGGGAAACCACGUUCCAGCUGUAACAAAGAUUCUCGAGAAAAACCCCCACUUUGCUCCCACUGAAAAAAAAAUAAAAAAAUUGUUCAAGAUUCAAAUCUUUCUCAAUCUCGGCUCUUCGCGUUUAUAGGUAGAUGGAAAAGGAAAGUUUGUGAAGCCCACAGUUUUCUGGAAAUUUUCGUAAGAUUCUUGAAACCUCUGAUUCAAUUCGCGCACCAAAAAAUAAGUUAUUCUUUAAUUCUUCAAUAAUGUGGCUGAUUCUGUAUCUGGGAUGAUAUAUAUUUUGUAAAAAUUUGAUCUUUUUCAACUUCACACCGCAAAAAAGAGCAAAAUCAUUGUGUGAUGACGAGGAGAGGGCAUAGGGAAGUGAUGAUGGAGGGAUUGAAUUUGAAUGAGCCCACCAAGAUUCGGAAAAGGGGAUGCUCAUCUUCGCCAUCUUCAUCAUCAAGAAUUUACAAUUAUAGGCUGAGCAAACGGGCCAUAUUGGUAGGGAAGAACCGUGGGGUCGGGCUGGGGCGGUCCCGAUCCAGCACCCCCGUGCCGACGUGGAGAACCACCCCUUUGAGGGGCGCCAUUGAGACUCCCAAGUACUCGCAGGGCGGGAGAUCGGCCCGGCCCGUCUCGGCCCGGAGGCUUGCUGCCACGCUCUGGGAGAUGAACGAGAUGCCGUCGCCCAAGAUGAGCGAGAGCAAUUUGGAUGUCAGGAAGCGGCAGCAGAGGAAGAGCGGCAGCAGGAUGUCGCUCAAAGCUGAGAAAUUAAUGCACUCUGGAUUCGGGCUGCAUUCGGGCUCGGGCUCGGGCUAUUUGCCGCCGCACUUGUCCGAUCCGCCUCACAGCCCGACUGUUUCUGAGAAAAUGGAUCGGUCGGGAACAGGCAGUCGUCGUAGGCCGUCCAUUUCUCAGAAGCUUAUGUCUGCUGAUCGAAACAGUGGACCUAUUGAUUCUGUUAGCAAUGCCAGUUUUAUGGAGAUUGAGACUCGAUCACGCCCCCAGAUUUCAAGUGAAUCCGGCGUUGGUGGGAAGAAUCGUUUGAAGGAAGCAAGCAGUGCUCUGACUACCUCAAAAGAGCUGUUGAAGAUCAUCAACCGCCUCUGGGCUCAAGCGGAUCAGCCCUCGUCUAGCAUGUCCCUCAUCUCGGCCCUCCACUCCGAGCUCGAGAGAGCUCGUUUGCAGGUCAAUCAGCUCAUCCAAGAGCAACGGUCAGAGAAGAACGACAUCAACUAUCUCAUCAAGUGUUUUGCCGAGGAGAAGGCCUCUUGGAAAAACAAAGAGCAUCUAGCCGUGGAAGCUGCAGUGGGGUCCCUUGCCCAUGAGCUAGAGGCAGAGCGAAAGCUGAGGAGGCGGCUUGAGAGCUUGAACGCGAAACUUGGCAAGGAGCUAGCAGAGAUCAAGUCGUCAUUCAUGAAGGCGGUCAAAGAAUUGGAGAGCGAAAAACGAGCAAGAGAGAUAACCGAACAGGUGUGUGAUGAGCUAGCAAGAAACAUCGAUGAGGAUAGGGCCGGAGUGGAGAAGGUGAAGAGGGAGUUUGUCGGAGUUCAUCAAGAGGUGGAAGAGGAGCGCGAGCUGCUGGAAUUGGCCGAUAAGUUGCAUGAGGAACGAGCCCAAAUGAAGCUCUCCGAGGCCAAACUUCAAUUCGAGGAGAAGAGCUCUGCUGUUGGCAAGCUGAGGAAGCAACUCGAAGCUUUCCUUGGAACGAAACGGGACAAAGUUGAUGAAGAUGUUGAGGAUGGUGUAGACAGCAAAGAAGAAGGCUCUGCAGAGAGUGAUCUUCACUCCAUUGAGUUGGACUUGAUCAACAACAAUAACAACGAUAAAGGGCACAACAAAUGGGCUUAUACCUCUGCAGUUGAACGCGAGUCUAGGAGAGUACCGGUUAGUAAUGAGACCAGAGCAAGAAACUCCAUCUCCGGGCAGGUCUCUCGUAGGAGCACUUCUCUGCAGAGGAGCGCGUCUGAUGGAGUCGAAUGGGCAGCUCAAGGUGCAGGCAACCAACACAUAAUCAACGAGGGAUUUCAUGAAGACGAUAAGGAAGCUCCAAUGAGUAGCUAUUUGGACGAAAUGCAGAGGCUCAGAACUAGUAAAGGUUUCAAGAAUCACUUACUAUCAAGCUCUCGGUUAGGGAGAGAAAACCAUAGUCCAUCGAAGAAGAAGGAACAUUCGUAUCCUCCCAGAGAUGUAAGUCAUGAAAAAUCCAAGUCAAGAACAGCACAAGGCAGCAGGAGAUCUAAAUGGUGACGUUUUUAACUGCUGUUGAAGAUUAGUCAGCACGUUUUCGUUGCAAGCUGACAUCUUCUAGCUGAGGAAAUAUGAACAAGUUAACACCUUGUUGAUUUGUGGUACAAAAUCGAGCUCUUGCGCCUUCCUCAAACGCGCUCGUCUCCAUGUUUUGCGUCGCACUAGACGCGACAGACUCCAUCUUCCACUUCUUCAUUUUGGAAGAUGCUGGCAUCGCCUUGCUACAUCUGAGUGGUACAAAAUUUUCAGAAAUGUGAUAUUGACAUUACUGAAUUUUCUACAAGCACUUGGCAUCUGCUACUACUUUCAUCUCCUAUUUUAUUUCAUUAAAACUUUGUUUAGCUGUUUAGUUUGUGUUUCCUCAAAAAAAAAAAAAGCUGUUUAGUUUGUAUUGAAAAAAAUCGAGUAAUACCGCCAAGAUUUGGGUAUAAGAAAAUGUCAUUGGCUGAUUGGCAUAUAUUAUUAUUA
Salvia miltiorrhiza (redroot sage) is the source of this 3077-nucleotide RNA transcript. RefSeq lists it as uncharacterized. Lineage: Eukaryota; Viridiplantae; Streptophyta; Magnoliopsida; Lamiales; Lamiaceae. The transcript is spliced from 4 exons. The record is from RefSeq and is a predicted model, not a curated record.